ACCGCGAUAGCUCAGCUAGUAGAGCAUCUGCCAGGUAUGCGGAAGGUCGCCGGUCCGAUUCCAGCUUGCGGCG
This 73-nucleotide transfer RNA is filed under the name Fasciola hepatica (liver fluke). RNAcentral describes it as "tRNA-Thr". It matches the Rfam family "tRNA". Rfam says of the family: Transfer RNA (tRNA) molecules are approximately 80 nucleotides in length. Their secondary structure includes four short double-helical elements and three loops (D, anti-codon, and T loops). Further hydrogen bonds mediate the characteristic L-shaped molecular structure. tRNAs have two regions of fundamental functional importance: the anti-codon, which is responsible for specific mRNA codon recognition, and the 3' end, to which the tRNAs corresponding amino acid is attached (by aminoacyl-tRNA synthetases). tRNAs cope with the degeneracy of the genetic code in two manners: having more than one tRNA (with a specific anti-codon) for a particular amino acid; and 'wobble' base-pairing, i.e. permitting non-standard base-pairing at the 3rd anti-codon position. Lineage: Eukaryota; Metazoa; Platyhelminthes; Trematoda; Plagiorchiida; Fasciolidae. The record is from RNAcentral.